Chelonia mydas (Green sea turtle) is the source of this 1002-nucleotide long non-coding RNA. RefSeq lists it as uncharacterized. The transcript is spliced from 4 exons. NCBI's taxonomy places the organism in Eukaryota, Metazoa, Chordata, Testudines, Cheloniidae. The record is from RefSeq and is a predicted model, not a curated record.
ACUUUCUCUCGCUCUAGCCCAUCGAAUAGUUAAGUGGAACAGCCCCCUCCUCUCCUGCAAGCAUAGCCCAGUGGUUAGUUGGGGCACUCAGCUGGGAGGGGGAAGAGUCUGGUUCCCUACCUCUCAGAACUCUUGCGUCAACACUUCAGGAAGAUUCCAUGCACAGGCAAAGACUUUACAGGCCCUCAGUCCCCAAGGAACCUUAAGCUGUACAAAGAGAGGAAGUCAUUUUCUACUUCCUACAUAUCUCUUCAAACUUUUAUGGAAGAAGAGGGCAAGAGCACAAGCUUUCAACUCCCUUUAUAGCAGUAGUCAAAGCUCUAGCAACAUAACUGAGGAGGGGAAAGGAUGCUCAUUUUCAUCCUUGCUGCCAGCAUUCUCCUAGAGAGACAAGAGAGCGAUUUGAAGGAGAAGAGCAUAGGAACCUGUAUGGAUCAGUUCAAUGAAGGCAACACUGAAAAAGAUAUGGAGACAUUUGUAUGAGAAGCUGAGGAACAGACAGACAAGGCUAGUGUUGAUGGAGAAGAGGAACCAGGGAUGGAAAAGCAACAAGAGACAAGGCUAGGAAUCACAUCAACCAUCACUGAAAUGAAACCACCUCUGGGGUAUAAUGUUGCAACUGUUUAAGAGAGCACCGCAGUUCUACACAUCUAGGAAGCAAAAAUGAAUUCUGUAUUAAAUUGAUAUUGCAGAGGGAAUUUAAGUACACAUGGAAACCUGAAGUGUGUUAUCGAAAUCAGUUGCUGAUGGCCUUCCCAUUAUUUCCUUAAUAAAAUAUUUCCUUUGCAAACAGCUGUUGCUUCCCUGGAAGAACCCAGCAAAGCCUCUGUCUUUUGUUGCCUUACCUUGCUUUCAUGGCCCCAUAGGCACCAUCUUUUCCAUUAAACUACGGCUGCAUAAAGGGGUUGCCAUUGAGUGAUUCAGAACACCUUGUAGGGGCUGAAAGCUCUGCUUCCACAGGGCUCCAAACCCAGAUGGUAUAAUUCUCAUCUGUCAUUACAC